UACGGAGGGUGCAAGCGUUAUCCGGAUUCACUGGGUUUAAAGGGUGCGUAGGUGGGCAGGUAAGUCAGUGGUGAAAUCUCCGGGCUUAACCCGGAAACUGCCGUUGAUACUAUUUGUCUUGAAUAUUGUGGAGGUAAGCGGAAUAUGUCAUGUAGCGGUGAAAUGCUUAGAUAUGACAUAGAACACCAAUUGCGAAGGCAGCUUACUACACAAUGAUUGACGCUGAGGCACGAAAGCGUGGGGAUCAAACAGG
RNAcentral lists this ribosomal RNA (253 nucleotides) under uncultured bacterium. RNAcentral's name for it is "partial 16S ribosomal RNA". It matches the Rfam family "Bacterial small subunit ribosomal RNA", at positions 524 to 776 of the family's 1533-position model. The record is from RNAcentral.